Megalops cyprinoides (Indo-Pacific tarpon) is the source of this 74-nucleotide non-coding RNA. The record is from the annotation of a RefSeq genome assembly. Lineage: Eukaryota; Metazoa; Chordata; Actinopteri; Elopiformes; Megalopidae.
CAGAACGUAGCUAAGACAGACCAAAGCAUCUCCCUUACACUGAGAAGACAUCCGUGCAAACCGGAUCGCUCUGA